GAGCUCGUAGGCGGUUUGUCGCGUCUGUCGUGAAAGUCCGGGGCUUAACCCCGGAUCUGCGGUGGGUACGGGCAGACUAGAGUGCAGUAGGGGAGACUGGAAUUCCUGGUGUAGCGGUGGAAUGCGCAGAUAUCAGGAGGAACACCGAUGGCGAAGGCAGGUCUCUGGGCUGUAACUGACGCUGAGGAGCGAAAGCAUGGGGAGCGAACAGGAUUAGAUACCCUGGUAGUCCAUGCCGUAAACGUUGGGCACUAGGUGUGGGGACCAUUCCACGGUUUCCGCGCCGCAGCUAACGCAUUAAGUGCCCCGC
This 310-nucleotide ribosomal RNA is filed under the name Micrococcus sp. RNAcentral's name for it is "bacterial SSU rRNA". It matches the Rfam family "Bacterial small subunit ribosomal RNA", at positions 565 to 872 of the family's 1533-position model. Lineage: Bacteria; Bacillati; Actinomycetota; Actinomycetes; Micrococcales; Micrococcaceae. The record is from RNAcentral.